This is a long non-coding RNA of Wyeomyia smithii (pitcher-plant mosquito), 2186 nucleotides long. RefSeq lists it as uncharacterized. Lineage: Eukaryota; Metazoa; Arthropoda; Insecta; Diptera; Culicidae. The record is from RefSeq and is a predicted model, not a curated record. The transcript is spliced from 4 exons.
GCAUCAUUGUUAGUUCUUCCUGUUUCGUCAGAAUAAAAGUAGACGCAAUAAAGGUUAGCUUCAGAAAUCGUAUUCCGCGCGUUUAUUUCGUUAAUCUACAUUCCCGUUCGGUCGUGUCCGGUUUAUCCACCGAAACGAUUGUAGUCCCCACACCCUCUUUAAACCAUCCUGGAGUCCAUAGCGGACGACGAACAGGUCAGUACCAUGGAUAUCAGUGGGAGUCUGGUAUGGCCCAGAGAAUGAUCAGGCUAUCGUUCGAACGAUUAUGUUGUAAGCUUUGUCGCUCUCAAGAAAUGUUAACCACUAGCAAAGAUAACCAUCUCAUAGCAUAAGUUAGGGCAUCAUAAAGUUUUUAUAGAGUAAGCAUAUUUAUCGUCAGGUCACAGAUGAGACCGGCACUCAGUGAAGUAAUCCAGCUAUGUAAACAAACAAAAUCUGAAAAAUGAUAAAAAAACACAUUAGGCAACUCGGUUUGCAAAAUAAGAAGUUAUUUUAGAGUAUUUUUUGGAACAGAGACGAAGUCUAGUAUUAAGCAGGUUAGAUACUUUGGUUAGGCUCUUUAAGAUUAGGUGAGGUGAGAAGUUUCGGUCAGCAAUCAUGUAGCAUUUGUCACAUGUGAUGCAAUUGCCUAUUAUCCAUACAAACCAAGUUAAUCAAGUUAGCAGGUAUCCACAGAAAGCACUUACAACAUCUUCUAAUCAUGGAAGAGCUGUUAAGGAAGUUUUUGGGUCAAAUUAGAGAAAAUAUGUAGACGAAAAAAAAUAUAUCCACUCAGCUAGCACAUUGAAAAAGAUAAACGUCAAACAGCAUGAAUUCUGCAUGCGCGACUUUUCAGAAAGUUCAUCGCAAUGCCAAAACAGGAUGAAUACAACACUUUUAGACUACCUGCGCAUGCUGUCAGUUAGGUUUCGAAGUAGUUAGAGAUUUUGUCGAAGUACUUUGACGUUUGAUAUAUAUUCAAUUAAGAAGGAACUAUGUAAUUAUGAGUCGUUUCUCCAGAAGAAUCGGGAAGUUGAUGAAUUCGUUAAAGUUAGAUUGGAAUCUGUCGAAUUUUUCAUUUUGACGUUGAACGAAAAUAUUUCGUUAGUAGGCCGAAUGAUUUUGGCAAAUUAUUCAGAACAGAUAAUGCAAAGGUGGUCAAACAAAUCUCCAAUUCACAAGCCAAUAGAAAAUCAAUCAAUAAAGGUAGUUAAAAUAGCCAGUCAUACGGAUAAUAGGUGGUUCUAUAAAAGUAGUAUUUUGUAAUUAGAAAAAAAAAAUAUUUUCUGAGAAUAAGCUCUGAGGAAAUAUUCUUUUUUGUAUGAGUUUGGGAAAGUGUAACGGGGUUACAAAAAUAGCGCGCACUCAGUUUAAAUUUAAAAAUUCAAAUUGGUCGGAGUUGACGGUGAGGGCCCCUCGACUACUCGGGUGGGAUAAAAACGCAGUUGCUCAAAUAAAAGAAUUCGCUCGAAAAUGACUUCAGACUUUCCAACCAAUCAACGACGUACACGUUAGCUCGAAGUCAUGUUGGCUGAUACAUACAGGCCAGUGCCUAAAGAAAAGACUUAUCGUGAAACACUCCAAAUGAGGUCGCACGUGAAGAUAGUCCAAAUGUGGGAGUAGUCGAACAGCUUAUUAGGAAAAGUUAAGAAUUAAUCCUAGUGGAAAACAAAAAAAAAUUGAAAAUAACAUCCACAGAGGAGAAGAAAAAUUGUAAAAAAAAACAACUUGUAAAAGUGAGCCAGAAAGUAGUCCAGGAGAGUACAGGAAAAAAAAAACAAACCAGUUUGGAAAAUCAUUCAAAAGUAUCCUUAUCAAUAAAACUAAUCUUAUCAAAAAUAUGAAACGCUCAAAUGUUCCUGUAAGUAACCAGAUGGAUUCCGCAGUUCUAAAGACAUUUGUUGAAUUUCAACGCUCCUGUGCAUGGUUUAUAAUUUGUCACAUACUGUCGAUAAACUUUUUGGAUUCCGACAGCCGAUGGGCUUUGAAUGAUGACUGGUCGGUUGAUUCGAUAAUGCUUGUCCUGCUUGCCGCCUCCACUUCCACUGGAGUCAAGAUUUUCAUUUUCAUUUCAAACCGUUAAGUACAGAAGAACUUAUUCAAAUUUUUAAUUCCUUGAAAAGAAUGACGAGAAAACUUUUGUAAUCAAUUCGGUAAGAUGGAUUAGACAGGAUUGGACAACAUGAAUAAAAAAAGUGUAAACAACU